This 492-nucleotide ribosomal RNA is filed under the name uncultured bacterium. RNAcentral's name for it is "partial 16S ribosomal RNA". It matches the Rfam family "Bacterial small subunit ribosomal RNA", at positions 29 to 507 of the family's 1533-position model. The record is from RNAcentral.
AGUGAACGCUGGCGGUAGGCCUAACACAUGCAAGUCGAACGGCAGCACAGUAAGAGCUUGCUCUUACGGGUGGCGAGUGGCGGACGGGUGAGGCAUACAUCGGAAUCUACUUUUUCGUGGGGGAUAACGUAGGGAAACUUACGCUAAUACCGCAUACGACCUACGGGUGAAAGCAGGGGAUCUUCGGACCUUUCGCGAUUGAUUGAGCCGAUGUCGGAUUAGCUAGUUGGCGUGGUAAAGGCCCACCAAGGCGACGAUACGUAGCUGGUCUGAGAGGAUGAUCAGCCACACUGGAACUGAGACACGGUCCAGACUCCUACGGGAGGCAGCAGUAGGGAAUAUUGGACAAUGGGCGCAAGCCUGAUCCAGCCAUACCGCGUGAGUGAAGAAGGCCUUCGGGUUGUAAAGCCCUUUUGUUGGGAAAGAAAAGCAGCAGGUUAAUACCCCGCUGUUCUGACGGUACCCAAAGAAUAAGCACCGGCUAACUUCGUG